RNAcentral lists this ribosomal RNA (373 nucleotides) under uncultured bacterium. RNAcentral's name for it is "bacterial SSU rRNA". It matches the Rfam family "Bacterial small subunit ribosomal RNA", at positions 527 to 898 of the family's 1533-position model. The record is from RNAcentral.
GGGGGGGGCAAGCGUUGUUCGGAAUUACUGGGCGUAAAGGGCUCGUAGGCGGCCAACUAAGUCAGACGUGAAAUCCCCAGGCUCAACUUGGGAACUGCGUCUGAUACUGGUUGGCUUGAAUCCGGGAGAGGGAUGCAGAAUUCCAGGUGUAGCGGUGAAAUGCGUAGAUAUCUGGAGGAAUACCGGUGGCGAAGGCGGCAUCCUGGACCGGCAUUGACGCUGAUGAGCGAAAGCCAGGGGAGCAAACGGGAUUAGAUACCCCGGUAGUCCUGGCCCUAAACGAUGAAUGCUUGGUGUGACGGGUAUCGAUCCCUGUCGUGCCGAAGCUAACGCAUUAAGCAUUCCGCCUGGGGAGUACGGUCGCAAGGCUGAA